GAUGAACGCUGGCGGCGUGCCUAAUACAUGCAAGUCGAGCGAACGGACGAGAAGCUUGCUCCUCUGAUGUUAGCGGCGGACGGGUGAGUAACACGUGGAUAACCUACCUAUAAGACUGGGAUAACUUCGGGAAACCGGAGCUAAUACCGGAUAAUAUUUUGAACCGCAUGGUUCAAAAGUGAAAGACGGUCUUGCUGUCACUUAUAGAUGGAUCCGCGCUGCAUUAGCUAGUUGGUAAGGUAACGGCUUACCAAGGCAACGAUGCAUAGCCGACCUGAGAGGGUGAUCGGCCACACUGGAACUGAGACACGGUCCAGACCCCUACGGGAGGCAGCAGUAGGGAAUCUUCCGCAAUGGGCGAAAGCCUGACGGAGCAACGCCGCGUGAGUGAUGAAGGUCUUCGGAUCGUAAAACUCUGUUAUUAGGGAAGAACAUAUGUGUAAGUAACUGUGCACAUCUUGACGGUACCUAAUCAGAAAGCCACGGCUAACUACGUG
RNAcentral lists this ribosomal RNA (497 nucleotides) under uncultured bacterium. RNAcentral describes it as "partial 16S ribosomal RNA". It matches the Rfam family "Bacterial small subunit ribosomal RNA", at positions 28 to 507 of the family's 1533-position model. The record is from RNAcentral.